GCUGGAAUAGCUUAGUUGGUUACAGCGUGUGGCUGUUAACCACAAGGUCGGAGGUUUGACUCCUCCUUCUAGCG
Erythranthe guttata (spotted monkey flower) is the source of this 74-nucleotide non-coding RNA. The record is from Rfam. NCBI's taxonomy places the organism in Eukaryota, Viridiplantae, Streptophyta, Magnoliopsida, Lamiales, Phrymaceae.